AGUGAACGCUGGCGGUAGGCCUAACACAUGCCAGUCGAACGGCAGCACAGUAAGAGCUUGCUCUUACGGGUGGCGAGUGGCGGACGGGUGAGGAAUACAUCGGAAUCUACUUUUUCGUGGGGGAUAACGUAGGGAAACUUACGCUAAUACCGCAUACGACCUACGGGUGAAAGCAGGGGAUCUUCGGACCUUGCGCGAUUGAAUGAGCCGAUGUCGGAUUAGCUAGUUGGCGGGGUAAAGGCCCACCAAGGCGACGAUCCGUAGCUGGUCUGAGAGGAUGAUCAGCCACACUGGAACUGAGACACGGUCCAGACUCCUACGGGAGGCAGCAGUGGGGAAUAUUGGACAAUGGGCGCAAGCCUGAUCCAGCCAUACCGCGUGGGUGAAGAAGGCCUUCGGGUUGUAAAGCCCUUUUGUUGGGAAAGAAAAGCAGCAGGUUAAUACCCCGCUGUUCUGACGGUUCCCAAAGAAUAAGCACCGGCUAACUUCGUG
RNAcentral lists this ribosomal RNA (492 nucleotides) under uncultured bacterium. Its description in RNAcentral is "partial 16S ribosomal RNA". It matches the Rfam family "Bacterial small subunit ribosomal RNA", at positions 29 to 507 of the family's 1533-position model. The record is from RNAcentral.